AUGGGGAAGACGGAGCUUGCUCGCCGGGCGUUUCAAGACGCCAAAGGCAAGUUUGACCGCCGCAUAUGGGUGCACGCCUAUGGCAAGAACACCGAAUCCGACCUCCUGAAAGAGAUCUGGAAGUCUGUUGCCGGUCACAAACCGGUCGGCGAGAUGAAUGUCGCAUGCUUCCAUAGGGAACUCGAGAAGCUCCUGGGAUCGGAAUCCUCAGAUAGGUGCUUGACGUUGUAUGGAAUCAUGAGUCGGCGACCCACGAGGCGGAGAGGAAGCAGGCAUCGCUGGCAUUGGACUCGUUUAAGCGCUGCGCCCAGGAUGGAAGCAGAAUCGUGA
RNAcentral lists this ribosomal RNA (330 nucleotides) under Triticum aestivum (bread wheat). Its description in RNAcentral is "partial small subunit ribosomal RNA". Lineage: Eukaryota; Viridiplantae; Streptophyta; Magnoliopsida; Poales; Poaceae. The record is from RNAcentral.